UACGUAGGGCGCAAGCGUUGUCCGGAAUUAUUGGGCGUAAAGAGCUCGUAGGCGGCUUGUCACGUCGGCUGUGAAAACACGGGGCUUAACCCCGUGCCUGCUUCCGAUACGGGCAGACUAGAGGUAUGCAGGGGAGAACGGAAUUCCUGGUGUAGCGGUGAAAUGCGCAGAUAUCAGGAGGAACACCGGUGGCGAAGGCGGUUCUCUGGGCAUUACCUGACGCUGAGGAGCGAAAGUGUGGGGAGCGAACAGG
RNAcentral lists this ribosomal RNA (253 nucleotides) under uncultured bacterium. Its description in RNAcentral is "partial 16S ribosomal RNA". It matches the Rfam family "Bacterial small subunit ribosomal RNA", at positions 524 to 776 of the family's 1533-position model. The record is from RNAcentral.